UACGAAGGGUGCAAACGUUGCUCGGAAUUAUUGGGCGUAAAGAGCGUGUAGGCGGCCCGGAAGGUCAGCUGUGAAAACUCGAGGCUCAACCUCGAGACGUCGGUUGAAACCACCAGGCUAGAGUCCGGAAGAGGAGUGUGGAAUUCCCGGUGUAGCGGUGAAAUGCGCAGAUAUCGGGAAGAACACCCGUGGCGAAGGCGGCUCUCUGGAACGCAACUGACGCUGAGACGCGAAAGCGUGGGGAGCAAACAGG
RNAcentral lists this ribosomal RNA (253 nucleotides) under uncultured bacterium. RNAcentral's name for it is "partial 16S ribosomal RNA". It matches the Rfam family "Bacterial small subunit ribosomal RNA", at positions 524 to 776 of the family's 1533-position model. The record is from RNAcentral.